GGGGCCGGAGGGGGGUGGGGGGGGCGGGUGUCCAGUGAUUCAGCCACAUGUGGUAGAGGACCAGGGGACCCACUUCCUUGGGGUCUGCACAUCAGUGGAAGACACCCACCCUGGUUGUAGCUGACUUGAUCAGACUCUGGCUCCCUGAACUGGAAUGAAAUGCAGAUAAACUCUUUAGAAAACUUUCGUAGGAAAAGCGCCUCGUGUGAUCUGGAACAAAGACAUUUUAUAAUCAGAUUUAUCAAGCUGGGAAGAGGGAGUUUUUAGCGAACGGAAGCAGCAGCAUUCUGUCACCAGGAAAUACUGCUUUAUCCAGAAUGGGAGAGCAACAGAAGAGCAGCUUUCUUAUGGAAUGACAGAGAACUUGUAAAGAUAAACCACCAGUUUCCAGGAGGAAAGGAAGAAAAUAAUGAUGGAGAUAGCCUCUGGAAAGCAUCCUCUUGUAUAUGGAAUAGAUGGUCAGAGUGGACUUGCUAUAAAGGACAGGGAACUCCACCCAAGAUUCUGUGAUAACCUACGUGGGAAAAAAAAUGCGUGUAUGUCCAUGUAUAACUAACUGAAUCACUUUGUUUUACAGCAGAAAUCAUCACAGCCUUGGAAAUCAACUGUAAUUUAAUAAAACUUUAAAAACUACUCUUAUAUUCUGUUUUAUUGUGGUCUGUUCCUGCUAAAUAAAUUUAAAUCUCCAAGCACUAAAAUAAAUAGAUCGGUCUAAACCAUUAAAUGUUCAUUAGUAAGAAAAUAGAACUUUCAAAGGAGACAUUGUAAACCCUCGGUUAUAUGGAUGGAGAUUUUCAGUGAGAAAACAUGGAAGUGAAUAUGAAUUAAGAGACGUAAAGGAGAAAAUGGAUAUAAGAAAUGAAAAGAAAAAUGUCUGUAUGUAAACGUUGGUUGUAGUGAUAUGAUCUACUUUUGUCACCCUACGUUGAAUUCAGUCAAAAUAAAGCAAAUGACUUGGAGCUUUGAAAA
This is a long non-coding RNA of Phacochoerus africanus (Common warthog), 969 nucleotides long. RefSeq lists it as uncharacterized. The transcript is spliced from 3 exons. NCBI's taxonomy places the organism in Eukaryota, Metazoa, Chordata, Mammalia, Artiodactyla, Suidae. The record is from RefSeq and is a predicted model, not a curated record.